RNAcentral lists this microRNA precursor (99 nucleotides) under Marmota monax (woodchuck). The record is from RNAcentral. Lineage: Eukaryota; Metazoa; Chordata; Mammalia; Rodentia; Sciuridae.
AGUGGAAUUAUUGGGUCAUGUGGUAGCCCUUUAACUUUUUGAGGGAUUUCCAAAUAAUUUUUCAGAGCAACUGGACCAAUUUAUAUUCCCAGCAGCAAC